This 484-nucleotide ribosomal RNA is filed under the name uncultured bacterium. Its description in RNAcentral is "partial 16S ribosomal RNA". It matches the Rfam family "Bacterial small subunit ribosomal RNA", at positions 29 to 507 of the family's 1533-position model. The record is from RNAcentral.
AUUGAACGCUGGCGGAAUGCUUUACACAUGCAAGUCGAACGGCAGCACGGGGGCAGCCCUGGUGGCGAGUGGCGAACGGGUGAGUAAUACAUCGGAACGUGCCCGGUCGUGGGGGAUAACGUAGCGAAAGUUACGCUAAUACCGCAUACGAUCUGAGGAUGAAAGCGGGGGACCUUCGGGCCUCGCGCGAUCGGAGCGGCCGAUGUCAGAUUAGGUAGUUGGUGGGGUAAAGGCCUACCAAGCCGACGAUCUGUAGCUGGUCUGAGAGGACGACCAGCCACACUGGGACUGAGACACGGCCCAGACUCCUACGGGAGGCAGCAGUGGGGAAUUUUGGACAAUGGGCGCAAGCCUGAUACAGCCAUUCCGCGUGCAGGACGAAGGCCUUCGGGUUGUAAACUGCUUUUGUACGGAACGAAAAGGCUCUGGCUAAUACCUGGGGCUCAUGACGGUACCGGAAGAAUAAGCACCGGCUAACUACGUG